Salmo salar (Atlantic salmon) is the source of this 607-nucleotide long non-coding RNA. RefSeq lists it as uncharacterized. NCBI's taxonomy places the organism in Eukaryota, Metazoa, Chordata, Actinopteri, Salmoniformes, Salmonidae. The record is from RefSeq and is a predicted model, not a curated record.
UUCACUUGCCCCUCCCACUAACACGCUCCUCUGCACUCUUCUCACGCUCUUCCUCUCUCUGGCACACGCAACCCAUAGGCGUACAGAGGAGAAACUGACACACACAGCAACUCUACAGACAUGUCGGACUCUGAGACCGCCGUUCCUACUGAGGCCCCCGUCCCUGCCACAUGUGCAAGCAUCAAGGCAGACCUGGACAAAUGUGUGAAGGAGGGGGGUGACUGUAAGGAUCUGAUGGAGGCAUUUGCAGCCUGUCUGAAGAGUGCAGCGGAGGCGCCGUGAGGAGAGCUAGACUCACACAAAAUGUCCAAUGCACAGGGUCCUCCAUGUUUCCCAGCAUUCCCUUCUGCACAUCAAGCACUGGGCUGAAUGAUACUGGUGGUGUUCAGCGCCUGGCAGAAACCAUCCACCUCUUUACCUCCCUCCCCAACCCACCUUGAAGCUUAAAUGGUGUCUUCUGAUUUAUACCCCUGCGCUGCUCCCACCGUGGCUGAGUACAUCCAAUUGGUAGACAAUUCUGGAGAGCCUAUGGGUUUUAUGCAAAUUGUCCACUUGAGAUGCAUACAUUUAAAUGGAAUAAUAAAGUCUAAAAGAAAUUGGUAUAACA